RNAcentral lists this ribosomal RNA (709 nucleotides) under uncultured archaeon. Its description in RNAcentral is "bacterial SSU rRNA". It matches the Rfam family "Archaeal small subunit ribosomal RNA", at positions 81 to 792 of the family's 1478-position model. The record is from RNAcentral.
GCGGACGGCUCAGUAACACGUAGUCAACCUAACUCGUGGACGUGGAUAACCUCGGGAAACUGAGAAUAAACCACGAUAGAUCAUAGUGCCUGGAAUGGCUUAUGGUCCAAACAGUUUACUGCCAUGGGAUGGGACUGCGGCCUAUCAGCUUGUUGGUGAGGUAAUGGCCGACCAAGGCGAUUACAGGUACGGGCUCUGAGAGGAGAAGCCCGGAGAUGGGUACUGAGACACGGACCCAGGCCCUAUGGGGCGCAGCAGGCGAGAAACCUUAGCAAUGUGCGAAAGCACGACUGGGUCAGUCCGAGUGAUUCCUGAUAAAGGAGUCUUUUGCUUGUCCUAAAAGCACAGGUGAAUAAGGGGUGGGCAAGUCUGGUGUCAGCCGCCGCGGUAAUACCAGCACCUCGAGUGGUCAGGACGUUUAUUGGGCCUAAAGCAUCCGUAGCCGGCUUUGCAAGUCUUCGGUUAAAUCCACCUGCUCAACAGAUGGGCCGCUGGAGAUACUACAGAGCUAGGGAGUGGGAGAGGCAGACGGUAUUCAGUGGGUAGGGGUAAAAUCCUCUGAUCCAUUGAGGACCACCAGUGGCGAAGGCGGUCCGCCAGAACACGUUCGACGGUGAGGGAUGAAAGCUGGGGGAGCAAACCGGAUUAGAUACCCGGGUAGUCCCAGCUGUAAACGAUGCAAACUCGGUGAUGCAUUGGCUUAUGGCCA